RNAcentral lists this ribosomal RNA (400 nucleotides) under uncultured bacterium. Its description in RNAcentral is "bacterial SSU rRNA". It matches the Rfam family "Bacterial small subunit ribosomal RNA", at positions 127 to 524 of the family's 1533-position model. The record is from RNAcentral.
UACCUUGUUCAGAGGGAUAGCCUCUGGAAAGAGAGAUUAACACCGCAUAAUAUAUCGAUGUGGCAUCACGAUGAUAUCAAAUAUUUAUAGGAACAAGAUGGGCAUGCGGAACAUUAGCUAGUUGGUAAGGUAAUGGCUUACCAAGGCUACGAUGUUUAGGGGAUCUGAGAGGAUGACCCCCCACACUGGUACUGAGACACGGACCAGACUCCUACGGGAGGCAGCAGUAAGGAAUAUUGGUCAAUGGGCGGAAGCCUGAACCAGCCAUGCCGCGUGCAGGAAGACGGCCCUACGGGUUGUAAACUGCUUUUGUACCGGAAUAAACCUCUUUACGUGUAAAGAGCUGAAUGUACGGUAAGAAUAAGGAUCGUGCUAACUCCGUGCCAGCAGCCGCGGUAAU